AGAAUCCCGUAUGUGACUGGGUGCCGCUGCUCAUGUGAAGCUCCUUCGACGAGUCGAGUUGUUUGGGAAUGCAGCUCAAAAUGGGUGGUAAAUUUCAUCUAAAGCUAAAUACUGGCCAGAGACCGAUAGCGCACAAGUAGAGUGAUCGAAAGAUGAAAAGCACUUUGGAAAGAGAGUUAAACAGUACGUGAAAUUGUUGAAAGGGAAGCGCUUGCAACCAGACUUGCGCGCAGUUGAUCAUCCGGUGUUCUCACCGGUGCACUCGGCUGCGCUCAGGCCAGCAUCAGUUCUGGUGGUUGGAUAAAGGCCCUGGGAAUGUAGCUCCUCUCGGGGAGUGUUAUAGCCCAGGGUGCAAUGCAUCCUACCGGGACUGAGGACCGCGCUUCGGCUAGGAUGCUG
RNAcentral lists this ribosomal RNA (399 nucleotides) under Collophorina rubra. RNAcentral's name for it is "eukaryotic LSU rRNA". It matches the Rfam family "Eukaryotic large subunit ribosomal RNA", at positions 215 to 628 of the family's 3401-position model. Lineage: Eukaryota; Fungi; Ascomycota; Leotiomycetes; Phacidiales. The record is from RNAcentral.